CUUUUGCGUGAGGGAUUGAAGCGGCAUCCUUUUUUGCGUUUUUACAGUACAAAAUGAACGCGAAAAAGAUAUAGUGUAAAGCCCGACCCCGC
This 92-nucleotide small RNA is filed under the name Mesonia algae. Its description in RNAcentral is "Flavo-1 RNA". It matches the Rfam family "Flavo-1 RNA". The record is from Rfam by way of RNAcentral. Lineage: Bacteria; Pseudomonadati; Bacteroidota; Flavobacteriia; Flavobacteriales; Flavobacteriaceae.